Long non-coding RNA from Felis catus (domestic cat), 9961 nucleotides. RefSeq lists it as uncharacterized. NCBI's taxonomy places the organism in Eukaryota, Metazoa, Chordata, Mammalia, Carnivora, Felidae. The transcript has 3 exons. The record is from RefSeq and is a predicted model, not a curated record.
GAGAGAGAGAGAGAAUCCCAAGAAGAUUCUGCACUGUCAGUACAGAGCCCGGCUUGGGGCUUGAACUCACAAACUGCAAGAUCAUGACCUGAGCUGAAAUCAAGAGUCAGGUGCUUAACCAACCUAGGCUCCCCAAGGCCAGUCCUUUUUGACUAUAAGCCCAAUGUACUUUUUGGGGAGGCUGGGCAGAGGGUGAGGGGAAAUGGUUACUUGGAAAUACAAACAUAUAGACCUAUGGCUCUUGAACAAACUCCCUUAAGUUUAUAUCCACGUGAUUUAUAUUGUGGCUCUGUCUGAGCCCAAGAACGAUUUACCUUGUUUCUCUGUGUUUUUAGGUACUCUGAAUUUGAGGUCCACCCCAUCUAAUGAAGUUUGCUCCAGCUGUGUGAGGGGCUGCCGUAGGUUUGUUUGUUAGAAGUGAUGUGAGCACAGAGUGCAUUUUGUUUUCUGCCUUGGGCUUCCUGGCAUGUCAGGAAAACCCAGAAUGUGCCUUCUUGUUACCGCGGGAGUGUUAGGAAUCUACGGUGAGAGGCAGGACGGCUUUCCAGCAGAAAUGGCACAUACCGCAUUCCCUUGUCUGAGGGGGCCUCAGAGGCAUCUAUCUGGGGGCAUUGCUAGAAAAGAGAGGGCCUGUGUGAGGGCCCUGAGCUAUCUGGGUGAGGCAGUUCAGCCGAACACAGCCCCCGGUGCCUGUGAGUGCAGGGAUGACCCUUUGUCAGAGCAGGAGUGGCCGUACCUCCCGCCCCACCGCCCCCCACUCCAGGGACUUUCCCUUAGAGGUUCCACAUGGCUGCUGGUGUGGCAGUGGGGCAUGGGGUGUGGGGCACAGAGGUGUGACAGCUGGUUCUGGGCUGAGAGUUCGCUCUCUUUGAGCCCUGGCUCCACCACGGUAACAGUAACGUUUCUUAACUUACUGAGCUCUUGGGGCAUGCGUGCACUGUGCCCUUCUUAUUUCUUCAGCAUUGUAAGCAGUCUUACUGUGGUCAUUUCGCAGGUGGGAAGACUGAGGCUCAGGAAGCAUAAGCAACUUCCCAGGCCUGCAGAGGAUGUAGGUGGCAAGACUGAGACUCAGAUUUCUGAUUCUCAAACCUGUGCUCUUAACUGCCAUGCUUUAUUGGCACCUUGGCAAGCCAUCGAACCUCUUUGGGUCUCCAUUUCCUCCCCUGGAAAGUGGGGAUAAUGUGUUCCUGGCAUGCCAGCAGAGUACAGAUAAGAAGGGCUCAUCAGCUUUCAGACCCAUUCUUCUUGCCUGUCCCCCUGGCUCUGGGCAGCUGUCAGGCAUUGCCGCCUGCCGUGUUAUCUUUCCCGCCGGGGUAGGCGGGGCUCCUCUGCUCCUGAGUGUCAGGGUUCGCCUGAGGAGGCAACCCUGUACGUCUGGAGCGUGCCUCCCUGUGUCUCCCUUGGCAAUAGGAGAGGCAGCCGAGCCCUGCCCCAGCGAACAAUGGGGCACAUUCAGAAGGCAGCCAGGUGCCAAGCCAGAGGUGUUGAAGGGACAUUUGAUUAGUUUUAACCCUAGUGGUCAGGCUUUUGCUCUUUCUUUCUUUGUAGAAGUUAAGUGGGAAGGAAACAGGUGUGGCUUUCCUCUCCGUGCAGUUCACGUGGGCCUUCUGAUUUUGGGCGUGAGUACACCUCUUCGACCCCUCUCCUAUCCUCCGUCCUCUCCUGUCGCUGCGUAAGUCUGUGUCUCCCUCCUCACCUCCAGCCCCUGCUGUCUCUGUGCUGUGUGUGUCUCACUCAGCAAGUGCGAUGAGAGCUGAGACUGAAGAAUCCACGAUUCCAAGGGACUGUCUUUCAUCUUGUGCCAUCUCUCCCAACCUCAUCCCUGCCAGGCGGUCAGCCAGCUUUGGCUUGCACACCUCCAGUGAGAGGGAACUCACUUUCUUAGCUCAGCAGAGUCCUAGGUAAUCUGCCAUGGCUCAGGGAGGCUUAGAGGAUUUCUUGAGUGCCCACUCUCCUUUUCAGGCUCCUCUCAAAUCUUUCCUUUUCCAGAAAGUCUUUUCUGAUCUUUCCAGUUAGAAUUAAUCUCUGUCUCUUGGAAAUGCUUAUAGAAUUUAAUUUGUACAGCUUUAGUGGCACGGAUGUUAAAGUGCUAUGUUUUGCCAUUUCUCUAGGCAGAGGAAAGUAAUGUUGAAGGAGCUUUCCCAGUAGGACAGCUCGUUGGGUGAGGUUCCAGCUGGAGAGAAGGGAUACUAGAGAACUGCCAUGUGGGCCUGGGCUUCCUCCUGUAUCUAGAAAGUCCAUCUCCAAACUUGGCCAGUGUAUGUUAUGUAUUCUUUUCGUCCAGAGAAUAUGUUAGGCUUUGUGGGCCAUAUGGUCUCUGCGACGACUUCUCAACUCUGUCGUUGUAGUGUGAAAGCAGCCAGAGACAAUACAUAAAUGAACAAGGGUGCUGUGUUCCAAUAAAACUUUAUUUGCAAAAUAACAGGCAGCAGACGGGAUUUGCAGGCUGUGGUUUGCUGACCCGUGUUCUAGUCUCUUCCUGGUGGAUCAAAUGACUUUAGUUGCUGUGUGACCUUGGGGGUGCUGAGGUCCUUCUCCCAGCAUGGAUGAAUGGAAUGUUAUGGGUUGAAUCAUGUCCUCUAAAAGAUAUGUUGAAGUCCUAACCCCUGUACCUCAACAUGUGACCUUAUGUGGAACUAGGGUCAUUGCAGAUGUAAUUAGUUAAGAUUAACUAAUUGCCGGUGUAGGGUGGGCCCUUAAUCCCAUAUGAUUGACUUAGGUCCUUACAAGAGGGGAGACACAGCAAGGGAAAGAGCCAUGGGAAGACAGAGGAGGAGACCGGAGUGAUGCUGGCAUAAACCCAGGAAUACCUCAGGCCACCAGCAGCUGGAAGAGGCAAGGAUGCAUCCUCCACCAGAGGCUUUGGAGGGAGCAUGGCCCCACCAGCACCUUGAUUUUGAACUUGUAACCUCCACAACAAUGAGGCAAUAAAUUUCUGUUAUUUGAAGCCACCUAGUUGGUGGUGCUUUUUUAAGGCAGCCCCAGGAAACCAAUACAUGGACCAUUUUCCAUUUUCUCAUCAGAUUGUUUUAUGGGUGUUCAUGAGUGUGUUGAUGCAUUGUGUUUGGGUAGAGGUGGAUAAAACACUCUGCAAGGCAGGGAUAAUUGUCAUAAUCUCUUCUAGCUACUUCGAUUCCCUUUUAACUCAUGAAAAAAGCCUCUCUUCCUAUGGAGGAUUAGCAUAUUACCCUGCACGUAUAUAUUCUUUAAAGCCACACUCCUUAUUAACAGAUCAGCCUUUUUUUAAAAACUUAGCCAUUAGCCUGGAAUUCCAAUGAGUAAACAUGGUGCAUACUGCCUUUUAUUUAGCCCUAUUAUCUUUCUUUUUCUGAGUUUUGACUACAGUGAUUUCAACCACCUGUUUUUGUUCUGGGUCCCAACUCAUUUGAUUUGGAGGCUUACUAUGUGUUAAGUACAGAGAAUAGCCCUGCCUUCAGAGGGCUUGUAGUCUAUAGAGGAUAUAGACAAGUACACAGUGAUGUAGAACACAAGGCAGAGUGUACUUAGUACCGUGGGAGGGGUCAGCCUGGUGUUGUGAGGUGCUGGGAAGAGGAGGUCACACUGAUUUAGGUCAGGAAGGACUUCUGAAAGGUGGUGACUUUUAAGGUGGCCCCAGGGAAGGAUUGGGACCUCUCAGCUCACAGAAAGCGGGGAACCUAUUUUAGGAACAGGGAGUAUGCCUAAGUCACUGAACCUUCAGAUAUCAAAUAACUGCAGGGAGGUAAGGGCCAGAUCACAAGGGCUCUGCUGGGAGGCUGGGGAGGCUGGACUUCCAGAAAUUGGGAAGCCAUGGGCAGUUUUUGCACAAAAGAUGAUCUGAACAGAGGGGUGGCUCAGAGAAGUGGAUAUGGCAGUGCAGGAAGUAAUGGAGGCUGUGGGCUACUUUGGAGGCUAUGUGGGUGGAGUCCAUUCAUUUGUCCACUAUACUCUGCUGUGGUCUGGACACCGUGCCAGGUAGUGAGGCCACCAAGAGGCAUAACUUGCAGCCUCUGAGCAUCAGAUACUGAUAAUAGUAACUCCCAUGCAGGCUACCUUUGCCCAACACAGUUUUAAGUACCUUACAUAAAAGGUUUUCUUAGUUUUCACAGCAACCCAAUGGUGUGCACACUGAUAUCUCCAUUUUAUAGAGGAGGACACUAAGCACCAUGGAGAGGAAAUGUCACACCCAAGGUCACAUAGUUGGUCACUGAUGGAACUGUGAUUGGCCUGCAGGGUCCUGAGCCUUCACCACUAACCUUGACUCCAUACACCCAACGGGUCAUUUAGAAUACAGUGAGAUCUGUUUCUGGUAACUGCAGGUAAAAGUUCCAUGUGAACACAUAGGAGAGCAAAUUAACCCAGAUGGGCAGGGUGGGUGGAGCAGGAAGGCUUACUCAAGGAGGGAAUCGUCACCUAAGUCUUUGAAGGUGAGUGGGGUAAUUUAGCCAGGCAGGCAAAGGGCUGGGUGUAGAAUGGGGAGCAUAGGGAUUUUCUGUGGAGGGGAAGCACAGUCCCAGAAAGGGGAAGACAGCAUGGUGUGUUGAGGGCCUUCCAAGUUCAGUGUUGCUGGCCCCUAGUAAGUAAAGCCAGGAGUGGGCCUGGCAGAGGCUAGCGUAUAGGUGGGGCCAGGUCCAUGGACUAGACUCUGUGGUUGCCAGAGACAUGAAGGGCGUUGGGCAGAGAAGUCUUGUGACCAGAUUUGCUUUCUGAUGGGACCAAGAGUUGGAAGAGAUCCAGGAGGUCAUUUUGUCAAUUGCUGUCAGAUGUCUGCAUGCGAGGGCAGAUGACACAGAGGAGCUCCCAGGACAGGACUCGUGAGGCCAGAGCACUCCAAGCAUGGGACGUGACUCGGAAGGCUCAGCUAGUUGUUUAGCUGGUGUUUGGGUCUGUAGUUCUGCUUCAUUCAAUGUGUCAUUCAUCCAUCGGAUUUUGACUGAAUGCUGAACGUGCCCAGGCUGGCUCUCUGCUAAGCACUUGACAUUCCAGGAGGAAAGGACAUGGUCUCUGCCCUUGAGGCCAGCUGGACCACUAGGCAGAUAAUUCCAGGGCAGUGGGAUGCAAGCAGUCGGUGGAGUGGGCAUUGGGCCCUGAGAGCACAGUAGAGGAAGCACAGUCUCCCUGCUGCUGCCUCUCUCCUUGCCCCCUCCCCACCUCACUCCCAGCCUUAAGAAGAAAACGAUUUUUAACACUUAUUUAUUUUUGAGAGACAGAGCGUGAGCAGGGGAGGGUCAGAGAGAGAGAGGGAGACCCAGAAUCUGAAGCAGGCUUCAGGCUCUGAGCUGUCAGCACAGAGCCCGACACGGGGCUCGAACUCACAAACCGUGAGCUCAUGACCUGAGCUGAAGUCAAACGUUUAACCGACUGAGCCACCCAGGUGCCCCACUUCCAGCCUUGUAAAGCCACAGGCUUGCCUGGAUUUGAAUCCCAGCUCUGCCCUUUACUAGCUGUGUGACGUUGGGAGUUACUGAAUCUCUUUGUGUCCUCUGUUUUAAAAUGAGCACGGUAGUAGUAUCUGCCUCAACAGAUAGCCAUCAGGAUUAAAUUAGUUCACGUCCACAAAGCAGUCAGGAUAGUGCUUUGGCAUACAAGAAGUGCUCCAUAGAUGCUCUUAUUACUUUAGGUCCAGAAUCCCUCAGCCUAAACCCUCUGUACAAGGCACAUUUUAGGUUUCAGGAUGAUGUUAGUCAGGGUUCAAUCAGGUGAGAGAAACCGCCCAGUUAUCUAAACACUGAAAGCUUAAUAUAAAGAAUUAUGAACCCUGACAAGAGAUUGCAGUAAUGAAGGAUUGACUGCUAUGAAGUAACGAGUGCUCUAAAUAUAGCUUAAAGAAUGUGGGGAUAGCAGAUGUAGGAGCAGUGGCUCCCCCUAGGGCUCAGGUAGAGCACCAAGGAGCACCCCCAUCCCGGUUGUGAUGGAAUUCGAAAGGAAGAUCCUCCCUCCUGGGGCUGAGAUGGAGCACUCGUGGAAGAGGCCCCCAGACAGAGAUCUUGGCUUCGUUGGGGAGGGCACAGCUGUGCUUCGCGAAUGGUAGAGAAGCAGCGUGGUGCCACGCCAGUGACGGGUGCCGGGGACAGCUGUCCGUGGUGAGGCGCCUCCCAGAAGGCAGUCGGCUACAAUACCACGGGAGUGGGUAACACGGGGAGGCUGCUGGCGGCUUGGUGCCGUUGCACACUGUGGCCGGACGAUAGAAACGUUGUGUUUGCGGCUCUGGCUGGCCCUGUGCCAGAGACGUGGUCAUCAGGCUUACGUGAGUUCGCUCCUCGGUGAGUCACAGACAGAAACUAGACCAGGUGGCGUGGUCACACAAAAGAAACUUUAUUUGCAGCAAAUAAGGAGAUCACGGGGAAUAACUUCCAAAGCCGUGAGCCCCCAGACAAGGGUGAAUGGGUUGCUUUCACUCAAGGUUAGGAUGACUUUUCAUCGUUAUGUAGAGGCGAACGUAAGGUCAUGCCUAUAUGUACGUUGUACGCUAUGUAAGUGCGUCUUGUGCUCCUCCUUGGGCGGAGAUUUUAGUGUCAAGGGAGCUGCAUGGGUCACUCCGCGGUCCGUCUGUACAGGUACAGGUCAGAGGUUAGGCUCAAACUGUUCUGUGUGGUCUGGGCCUCCAGAGCCCUUCGUCCGGGCAGUUGUCAUUGCUUGAGAGGUGGCUUUGGUUUCCAUCACCGGGUGCUAUGCCUCUUGGGUCUUUUGCCUGAAUUAAGAGAGAAGCUGCAAAAAAGAGCGUAAGGAAAAGUGUAGGACAGAGGUUGGUGGGUCCAAGCAGGUGAGCAGUAAAGGUCAGGUGUCGGGGUCCAGCAGGUAACAAAGUCAUCUGUGCUGCCUGCCUGGCACAUGUACCAGAACCAGGAUAGAAAACAUACAGGAAAACCCUUUCCUCCCACAGUGUCUCUCUAGCAUCUUCGACCUGUCGCUGUGAUUACUAUUAACAUCAUGUUGUCUAGCGAGGGAGAAAAUGUUUAAAGGGCCCAGAUCUAUUUUUGCACAGCAGACAGGGAAGGUGCAUUUGUGGUUGGGAGGCAAUAAACUGGUCAGGGGCACAAGAAUCUUUCUGAUUUAGGGAAGUUGAUGCAGUGCAUAUAUUAUAUUAUGUAAUAGCCCCAUUGGGGUCUAUGGGUAGCUCUCCAUAACCAGAACAUACUAUUUUUUUUUUUCCUGUGGCAAAAAUGUAAGAAUAUUCAUGCUAAGUGGAUAAAGAGCAUAAGUAGCUUCGUGUCCAUUCAGGCCAGGUUUUGUCACCAAAUGAGUUAUAAAAAAAAAAAAAAAAGUUACAGAAAAAGCUUUUGAUCCUGAAAUCGAGGCUAAGGGAUGGUUGUGUCAUGUGUUUUCAUUACCUUUCUCUACACAGCAGCCAGAGGGGUCUUUUGGAAAAUGUCCAUUAUGCCACUGGCUAAGGUAAAGACUAAACUUCACUCCAGGCCCCCUCCCAACACUCCCCUCCCUGCCACCCCUGCCCUCCAUUCAUACUGACCUUGAACAAGCCAUCUUGUUACCUGGAGUGUUCUUCCAGUCUCCCCGCCACACCAACACACAUGCACAUGCACACACACAUGCACAAAUGGCUCGGCUAACACCGCCUCACGCUUCGGAUCUCAGCUCAGGUGUCUUAACCUCAGGAUAGCCUUCUGACCAUCUUUCCCCCCACCCCCCAGCCCUCAUCCUGGUUCAGGCCUUUUUUCUUUAACACACAUCUUAGUUUGUGAUCACACAAACUUGUAAUUAGUGUGAUUAGUUGAUUACUGUGUCACCCUCUGAAACGGUGAGUGCCAUGAGGUUGGUGGCUAUGUCUGUUUUUCCCCCUCGUUAUUUUAUCCCCAGUGCUUUACACAAUGCCUGACAUGCAACAUAUUUGAUGAAGGAGAAAAUGAAUGGACAGUCUUGGAUUAGAUCCCAAACCAGGCCAAAAAGAAUUAGCUAUAAAGGACAUUACGGAAACUUAGGAACUGUAGAUGAGCUGUUAGUAUUGUAUCAGUGUUAAAUUUCCUGACUUUGGUAUCCUUAUUUUAGGAAAUACAUGCUAAAGAAUUUAGGAGUAAGGGGUUAUAUGCCUUCACCUUUCUCUCAAAUGUUUCAGGACAAAAAAAAAAAAAAAUUGAAGUUUAGAUAGCUUCGAGAGAGAAUGAUGAAACAUGUAACAACAAACAUGGAUGAAAGAUAUAUAGGAGUUCAUCAUGCUGUUCUUGUAUCUUUUCUCUGAGUUCAAAGUUACUUCACAAUAAGAUAUUGUAAAGAAUUCAGUGAAUAGAAACAAAUGAACAAAAGGGAAAAGGGAUGCUAGGAGGAGUGCUCUCCGAAGGGCUUGGUCACUCUGGGGAGCUCUGAGGGGGCUGUGUGGCUGGAGCAUGGCCCUGGGGUUGGGGAGGGAUCAGCUGGGGGUGGGGAAGGAUUGGCUGGAGCUGGGUCCCUCAUCUGGGCCGCAGGCCUGUGUGUUUUGAGGGGGUGAAGCACUGAGCUGUACGGCCAGCCUUAGCCUGAGUACUCCACAUUCCCUCUCCUCUUCCCUAUGGUGAUUACUGAGCCAAAGCCUGAGUGGGUGAAGCCAGCCCAUCUUGGGUCUUCCGUCUGAUUUCUCUUUUAGUUUAAUAAUAGGGAAGCUCUCAUCCAAGUAUGAGGAUUACUCCUCCUACCUGAAAACUACAACUUUCCUGUUGUCUGUUUGUUGUUAAGCCCACCACAUGGUUCCUGUAUGGGUUAUAUGUGGCUGUAUAGCGGAUUAUCCCAAAAUGUGGUAGCUUAACACAAUGUUUAUUACCGUGUGGUUUCUGUGGGUCAGGAAUCUAGGCUCAGCUGGGUGGCUCUGGCUCAUGGUGGGUCUCUCAUGAGAUUACAGUCAAGAUGUUGGCCAGCUCUGGAGUCAUCUGAGGUCUUGACUGGGGCUAGGGGAUCUGCUUUCAAGAAGGCUCACUCUCAUGGCUGUUGCAGGAGGCCUCAAUUUCUCAACGCCUGGACCUCUCUGUAAGGAAGCUUGAGUGUCAUUACUGCGUGGCAGCUAGCUUACCCCAGAACGAGUGAUCUGAGAGUGAGAGCAAGCAGGAAGUCACAGUUCCUUGUGUGACCUAGUCUCAGAAGUUGCACGUUGUCGUGUAUGCUUUGCUCUGUUAGUUGGAUGUGAGUCACUAAGUUUAGCAGACCCCACCUCUUGAAGGGAGGAGUGUGAAAGAACUUGGGCACAUUUUAAAACCACCACAGCUCCUGAGGGCCUACCGCGUGCUGGGCACUAGAGGUGGUUCAGGGGAUCCAAGGCAUGGACCACCGUCUGCCCUCCAGAAGUUCACAUCUGCUUGGGGAGUGUCUGCUUUCUUCCAUGAAGAUGUGGAUGCUUCGGGGGACACCUGCCCAAUCCCUCCUCUGCACAGGCCCAGACGGUGGCCAAGCUGGGUUUUAGGAAGCUGAACGAUCUGGGACAUCCAGCCAUACCUGAAAUCUCCCAUUACAGCUCUCUUCUUGGGUGAAGACUCCACAGGCACCCAGGAAGCUCUUUGAAAAUGCACACAGGAAAAGAAAGAAAAAAGGCCACAGGAAUGCAACCUGACAACUGUCUCAGCCUCCAAGUGUUGGAUUGCCAUGGACUCAGCCGCUGAGUAAAUUAGCUUUGCCACGAAGGCAACCACAGAACGCUGGUCCUCUCCAAGCCACAUUUAUGGUGCUCCCCGCUGCGAUUUGAGGCCUGUCUGCCGAGCUUCCUGCCUCUUGGCCUUCCGCCGCUCUUUGUGCUGAGGCCAUGCUUCCAAGAGCAGCUUUCAGACCAACUUUAGGUUUUGCUUACUUUGCCGGUGAACAUCCUGCUCGUUUUAUUUUGUGGUUGGUUUUUAUAAGGAAAAAAAAAAAUUUAAGUACAUAUUUUUCAGACAACUGUGUUGAGGGGUAUUUGAGAUACAAUAAAUUGCACACUUUUGAAAGUGUGUAACUUAAUCCAUUUUAACAUAUGUAUAAACUUUGUGAGACUACCAUCGAAAUCAUAAUAAAUAUUUCUAUCAUCCCCGGA